Molecule: ribosomal RNA, 512 nt
Filed under: uncultured bacterium
Lineage: Bacteria
Description: bacterial SSU rRNA
Rfam family: Bacterial small subunit ribosomal RNA
Source: RNAcentral
AGGACGAACGGCUGGCGGCGUGCCUAAUACAUGCAAGUAGAACGCUGAUUACUGGAGCUUGCUCUGGUAUGAUGAGUUGCGAACGGGUGAGUAACGCGUAGGUAACCUACCUUUUAGCGGGGGAUAACUAUUGGAAACGAUAGCUAAUACCGCAUAACAAUGAUUGCCGCAUGGCAGUUAUUUAAAAGGCGCAAUUGCGUCACUAAGAGAUGGACCUGCGUUGUAUUAGCUAGUUGGUGGGGUAACGGCUCACCAAGGCGACGAUACAUAGCCGACCUGAGAGGGUGAUCGGCCACACUGGGACUGAGACACGGCCCAGACUCCUACGGGAGGCAGCAGUAGGGAAUCUUCGGCAAUGGGGGCAACCCUGACCGAGCAACGCCGCGUGAGUGAAGAAAGGUUUUCGGAUCGUAAAGCUCUGUUGUAAGAGAAGAAUGUGUGUGGGAGUGGAAAAUCCAUGCAGUGACGGUAUCUUACCAGAAAGGGACGGCUAACUACGUGCCAGCCGCAGC